RNAcentral lists this ribosomal RNA (17 nucleotides) under Bensingtonia naganoensis. RNAcentral describes it as "partial 18S rRNA". Lineage: Eukaryota; Fungi; Basidiomycota; Agaricostilbomycetes; Agaricostilbales; Kondoaceae. RNAcentral also lists the same sequence under 2 other names. The record is from RNAcentral.
CUGCAGAUGGAUCAUUU